GAUCAUUACCUAGAGUUGUAGGCUUUGCCUGCUAUCUCUUACCCAUGUCUUUUGAGUACCUUACGUUUCCUCGGCGGGUCCGCCCGCCGAUUGGACAAUUUAAACCAUUUGCAGUUGCAAUCAGCGUCUGAAAAAACUUAAUAGUUACAACUUUCAACAACGGAUCUCUUGGUUCUGGCAUCGAUGAAGAACGCAGCGAAAUGCGAUAAGUAGUGUGAAUUGCAGAAUUCAGUGAAUCAUCGAAUCUUUGAACGCACAUUGCGCCCCUUGGUAUUCCAUGGGGCAUGCCUGUUCGAGCGUCAUUUGUACCUUCAAGCUCUGCUUGGUGUUGGGUGUUUGUCUCGCCUCUGCGUGUAGACUCGCCUCAAAACAAUUGGCAGCCGGCGUAUUGAUUUCGGAGCGCAGUACAUCUCGCGCUUUGCACUCAUAACGACGACGUCCAAAAGUACAUUUUUACACUCUUGACCUCGG
Molecule: ribosomal RNA, 471 nt
Filed under: Didymella glomerata
Lineage: Eukaryota; Fungi; Ascomycota; Dothideomycetes; Pleosporales; Didymellaceae
Description: eukaryotic LSU rRNA
Rfam family: 5.8S ribosomal RNA (bases 149-302)
Source: RNAcentral